RNAcentral lists this ribosomal RNA (512 nucleotides) under uncultured bacterium. RNAcentral describes it as "bacterial SSU rRNA". It matches the Rfam family "Bacterial small subunit ribosomal RNA", at positions 28 to 526 of the family's 1533-position model. The record is from RNAcentral.
GACGAACGCUGGCGGCGUGCUUAACACAUGCAAGUGGUGCGACGAACCAGGGCUUGCCCUGGGGCAAAGCCGCGAACGGGUGAGUAACACGUGAGUAACCUGCCCCGAUGACCGGGACAACCCGAGGAAACUCGGGCUAAUACCGGAUGUGGUGCACAGAUCUAAGUCUGUGCACUAAAGGAAGCUUCGGCCUCCGCAUUGGGAGGGGCUCGCGGCCCAUUAGCUUGUUGGUGGGGUAACGGCCUACCAAGGCAACGAUGGGUAGCUGGUCUGAGAGGACGAUCAGCCACACUGGGACUGAGACACGGCCCAGACUCCUACGGGAGGCAGCAGUGGGGAAUCUUGCGCAAUGCGCGAAAGCGUGACGCAGCAACGCCGCGUGAGGGAAGAAGGCCUUCGGGUUGUAAACCUCUUUCAGGAGGGACGAAGGUUCAGGCGCGAAUAGCGUCCUGGACUGACGGUACCUCCAGAAGAAGCCCCGGCUAACUACGUGCCAGCAGCCGCAGUAACAC